CUUCUUAAUAUUUAGUGUGAAUCCAAACAGCAACGCUCCUGAGUUUGUGUCCCACGUCACCUUCAGUCCGCUCAGAGCAGAGGAAUCAUUUCCAUAGAGAGGAGGCUUUGCAUCGUCAGCUGAUCCUCCACUGAACUGAGAAGCUUUAUAGUCCUGUGACUCCAACUCUGCAGGACUCAGACCCGUCAGUCGACCACAACCACCAUGACUCUCAUCACCCUCCUCAUCUGGACGCUGGCCUGCUGCAGCUUCACAGGAUGCAGCGGCCAGGUGACUGUGACUCAGCCUCCAGUCGUGACAUUUACUCCAGGAUCCACUGUCACUCUGACCUGUAACACCAACCCCAGUGCUUAUAACAAUGGUGAUAAUGAUUAUUUGUCCUGGUACCAGCAGAAACCUGGACAGGCUCCCAAGCUUCUUAUGUACUUAGCAUCAACUCUAGAAACAGGAAUUCCCUCUCGAUUCAGUGGCAGUGGCUCUGGUUCUAGCUUCACCUUAACCAUCAGUGGAGUUCAGAGUGAAGAUGCAGCAGUUUACUACUGUCAGAGCUUCCAUAUAAUCAGCAGAGCACCUGUGUUGACACAGUGAUUUACAGUCGUACAAAAACCUCCCUCAGUCAGACGCAGAGACAUGAGCUGUUACAGCAGGAAGAGAGUGGGACACAGACCAGUGAACACAGAGACUGACAGUAACCUCACCAAGCACAACAGACACAAUCACACACUUUCUGACCUAAGAUGAAGC
Molecule: non-coding RNA, 744 nt
Organism: Pleuronectes platessa (European plaice)
Lineage: Eukaryota; Metazoa; Chordata; Actinopteri; Pleuronectiformes; Pleuronectidae
Source: the annotation of a RefSeq genome assembly